RNAcentral lists this ribosomal RNA (214 nucleotides) under uncultured Pseudomonas sp. RNAcentral describes it as "partial 16S ribosomal RNA". It matches the Rfam family "Bacterial small subunit ribosomal RNA", at positions 1170 to 1382 of the family's 1533-position model. The record is from RNAcentral. Lineage: Bacteria; Pseudomonadati; Pseudomonadota; Gammaproteobacteria; Pseudomonadales; Pseudomonadaceae.
AAGGUGGGGAUGACGUCAAGUCAUCAUGGCCCUUACGGCCUGGGCUACACACGUGCUACAAUGGUCGGUACAAAAGGGUUGCCAAGCCGCGAGGUGGAGCUAAUCCCAUAAAACCGAUCGUAGUCCGGAUCGCAGUCUGCAACUCGACUGCGUGAAGUCGGAAUCGCUAGUAAUCGUGAAUCAGAAUGUCACGGUGAAUACGUUCCCGGGCCUU